Molecule: RNA transcript, 3033 nt
Organism: Toxorhynchites rutilus septentrionalis
Lineage: Eukaryota; Metazoa; Arthropoda; Insecta; Diptera; Culicidae
Gene: Pdfr
Gene name: PDF receptor
Exons: 13
Source: RefSeq, a predicted model, not a curated record
AAAAAUCUGCCUUCAGUACAGAUCAGACUAUCGAAAGGGAAAUAGUUUUCCAUUCCAGCUCGUGGCCUCAUAGAACCAGAAAAAAAUCCUCAUACUAGCAUAUAGCGAUAUAUAUUCAUUGUGAUUUUUCCCUAUCUGAUCUCUGAAGAGCCACCCGUCGGUCGUUUUUCCACGCUUUUCAUCGGGAGCAACUCGCGGAAUCGGUUGUAUAUAUCACAUAAGUACCGGAUAUGAGUUUCACUAUACCUUCGAGUACUGGCCAAUGCAGACGUUGAAAGUUCAUUUGCUCCCAACUGUUUCAUAUCUCAUUUAUAUGAUGUGUAAAUGUAGCCAAUCAUUAGAGUACUCAACUUUUUGAUAUUAUCUGCAAUCAGAUGUUGAAGGAGAUGUAAACAGCGUUUAUUCGGUGCAGUUUAGUGAAUAAUAACCACAAGGAACCGACCAAUAAGUGUAUUCAAUAGUUCAGUAUCUGGUUGAAUUAACAGUGGAUAAUCGAAAUGGUUAUAUGAUUGUAUAACGAAAUGCUGCGGUUUUUAAAUGUCGGUGAGAAUAGCUUGUGUUUAGUUGUCACACUACUAUUGAGUUGCAUUAUACUGAGAGGAAAUAAAUCCGUAUCCAUGAAUGCCUAGUUAGGUGGUAACCUGAACAUGAGAACGGGUAUUAAGAACAGCGCCUUUAGAAUGAAAAGGAAUAUGAUAGUUUUUUUGUAACAUAAGACGAGCUGCUGCUGACGAGUAUCAACAUUGAUAUACGGAAACGAUUGUUGGUUACAUUAAUUCGUCUUAUUGAAGCAACAAUGCCCGAUAUAACUUAACAAAUCACCUGAAGCGAAAGUAACUAAAUCAAAAUACUAGAGGUAAUGAUUCGACAUGGUCUCACCAUACACUGACGGAUCGCAACUUUUUCUAAAUGCGACUCUUGAUUCAUGUGCACUUAAGUAUGAGGAAUUCGUCAUACCAAACACAGUUCCUUACUGCAAUUGGACAUGGGACACAAUACUGUGUUGGCCUCCAACUCCUGCUGGGUCGGUGAUAAAACAACGGUGCCCUUCCGCACACGGAAUAGAUACGAGCAAGUUCGCCGAAAGAAGGUGCAGCGCCGAAGGUAGAUGGGAAGGAAAACCCGGACCAACACCCGGCCUGCUUGGGUGGACCAACUAUACGCCCUGUUAUAGCCCAGAAGUAAUUCAACUAUUCAGAAAGCUUUACGCUAGGGGAAGCACCGACGAAGUCGAAGUUAAGAUCGACAUUGCCGAAAAAACACGGACACUAGAAAUUGUAGGCUUCAGUCUAUCGCUAACAGCGCUAAUUUUAUCAUUAGUAAUAUUUUGUAAGUUUAGUACUUAUUUACAUAUUUUUUCCAGAAGUUUACGGAACAACAGAACGCGCAUACACAAAAACCUCUUUGUUGCUAUGGUAAUACAAGUGAUAAUCAGAUUAACACUAUACAUUGAUCAGGCAAUUAUUCGUAAUGGUGGGAAACAAUAUGGCAACGAGACUCGUCAUGGUAUCGAUAAUACGCCAUACCUUUGCGAGGCCUCUUAUGUGUUGUUGGAGUAUGCAAGAACAUGCAUGUUUAUGUGGAUGUUUAUAGAAGGAUUAUAUUUACACAACGUGGUUACCGUAACAGUUUUUCAGGAUCGUUUCCCACUAACAUUGUACGCACUUUUGGGAUGGGGUGGACCGGUGGCACUAACAUCUAUUUGGGCAGUGACCACCGGACAGCACAUUGGACAACAAAAAUGUUGGUGGGGAUAUAACCUGACGCCUUAUUAUUGGAUACUAGAAGGACCUAGAUUAGCAGUAGUUUUGUUAAAUUUGAUAUUUUUAAUGAACAUAAUAAGAGUGUUGGUGGUAAAGUUACGCCAAAGUCACACCAGCGACGUCGAGCAAGUACGAAAAGCAGUACGUGCAGCCAUCGUUCUAGUGCCAUUAUUAGGAAUAACUAAUAUACUAAACAUGACUGAGGCUCCACUGGAAAAAACGGCCCUGGAGUUUGCUCUCUGGUCAUACAUUACGCACUUUCUGACGUCUUUUCAGGGAUUUUUCAUCGCGCUUUUAUAUUGUUUUCUAAAUGGCGAGGUUAGAGGAGCACUCAUGAAAAGUCUUAGCAUUUAUCUAUCUGUUAGAGGACAUCACGAUUGGACUGCUCGAAGACCUUCAAUGUUUACUGCAGCAUACGCAACUGCGCCUGAGGGCGAAGAGCAUACAGUCGAGUCGAGCAGAUCUAUUUCCAGACGAAUAGGCAGCAACAGUUGGCUUGCAUUUUGCUUCCGCAUUCAAAAAGAAUCACAUCAGUCCACUCCAGAAUGUGCACCACCAGAUUUGUGAACUUCAACCUCCACCAAAGAAACCUAAAGGACCAGCAAAGAAUAGGAGAAAGGGGACCUUCAACCUCCACCAAAGAAACCGAAAGGACCAGCAAAGAAUAGGAGCAAGGGGACCAGAGAAAUUCGGAAGCUCAUGAGAGAAAAGUCGCUGACCAGGUGGCGAUAGGAGUGGAGUGCGACACCGAACGGUAGAUGAACGCACAAACUCAUACCGACACUAUAUUGCUGGGACGAAUGUAUGAUGUCAAUUUUUAUUACAACGCUGUCCAUGCUUGUCUAAUCAUAGAUAACUGAAUGUUGGAACCAUCACUACUAGACCAUCGAUACUCAUCAAGCUACAAAAUAUCAAUAAAGGAAGAAUAAGGGAUAGAGCGUAUUUUAACAGAUAUAUUUUUCUAUGAUAUAGAACACAUAGUAUAGUAGAAAAAAGAGCUUCUAGAUAAAUGGAAAGAAGCAAUGAGAAUUUCACACGAAAUAUAACAUCAAAAACAAAUGAUAUUGAAAUAAUCAAUAUGGAAUACAUACAAUUUAUAGUGCUUUAUUGCCGACUCUAAUAUGAAUAAUCUAACAUAAUAUCAGAAUGCAGAUUUCCAGGAGCUAAACUGAGACCAAAAAUGAAAGAAAUAUAAUAGAAUGUGCGAAAAAUCCGCGAACUAGAUUUCAUUGUACUUUAUAGAUGAAACAAUAAAUACGUUUUGCAUAAA